Picea glauca (white spruce) is the source of this 119-nucleotide non-coding RNA. The record is from Rfam. Lineage: Eukaryota; Viridiplantae; Streptophyta; Pinopsida; Pinales; Pinaceae.
UGAUGCGAUCAUACUAGCGUUAAUGUACCAGAUCCCAUCAGAACUCUGUAGUUAAGUGCGCUUGGGCUAGAGUAGUACUAGGAUGGGUGACCUCCCGGGAAGUACUAGUGUUGCAACCU